AGGGCACCACCAGGAGUGGAGCCUGCGGCUUAAUUCGACUCAACACGGGAAAUCUCACCAGGCCCGGACACCGUAAGGAUUGACAGAUUGAUAGCUUUUUCAUGAUUCGGUGGAUGGUGGUGCAUGGCCGUUCUUAGUUCGUGGAGCGAUUUGUCUGGUUUAUUCCGAUAACGAGCGAGACUCUAGCCUACUAAAUAGUUCGCACAUUGUCUCUGUGUGUGUGGCUUCUUAGAGGGAUUUUCGGUGUUCAGCCGCACGAAAUUGAGCAAUAACAGGUCUGUGAUGCCCUUAGAUGUCCGGGGCUGCACGCGCGCUACACUGGCAAAAUCAGCGUGCUUGUCCUUCCCCGAAAGGGGUUGGUAAACCCUUGAAAAUUUGCCGUGAUUGGGAUUGGAAAUUGCAAUUAUUUUCCAUGAACGAGGAAUUCCAAGUAAGUGCGAGUCAUCAGCUCGCGUUGAUUACGUCCCCGCCCUUUGUACACACCGCCCGUCGCUGCCCGGGACUGAGCCAUUUCGAGAA
Molecule: ribosomal RNA, 519 nt
Filed under: uncultured eukaryote
Lineage: Eukaryota
Description: SSU rRNA
Rfam family: Eukaryotic small subunit ribosomal RNA
Source: RNAcentral